ACCGGCAGCUCAAGUGGUGGCCAUUUUUAUUGGGCCUAAAGCGUUCGUAGCCGGUUUGAUAAGUCUCUGGUGAAAUCCCGCAGCUUAACUGUGGGACUUGCUGGAGAUACUAUUAGACUUGAGGUCGGGAGAGGUUAGGGGUACUCCCAGGGUAGGGGUGAAUCCCAAUAACCCUGGGAGGCCACCCUGUGCCGAGGGCGCCUACCGGAAACGACCCGGAGGUGAGUAACGAAAGCCAGGGGCGCGAACCG
Molecule: ribosomal RNA, 251 nt
Filed under: uncultured prokaryote
Description: partial 16S rRNA
Rfam family: Archaeal small subunit ribosomal RNA
Source: RNAcentral